GAUGAACGCUAGCUACAGGCUUAACACAUGCAAGUCGAGGGACCGGCGCACGGGUGAGUAACACGUAUCCAACCUGCCCUUUACUAGGGGAUAGCCUUUCGAAAGAAAGAUUAAUACCCGAUAGAAAGGAUGGGUGUGCGUUCCAUUAGGUUGUUGGGGAGGUAACGGCUAGCGAAGCGUUCGAUGGGUAGGGGGUCUGAGAGGAAGGUCCACCACAAUGGAACGUGGACCCUGUCCAAACUCCGACGUGAGGCAGGGGUGAGGAAUAUUGGUCAAUGGGCGCUAGCCUGAACCUGCCAAGUAUCGGGAAGGAGGCAGGUGUUUGGGUCGUAAACUGCUUUUAUAUAAGAAUAUGUAUUAUAUGAAUAAGGAACGGCUAACUCCGUGCCAGCAGCCGCGGUAAUAC
RNAcentral lists this ribosomal RNA (406 nucleotides) under uncultured bacterium. Its description in RNAcentral is "partial 16S ribosomal RNA". It matches the Rfam family "Bacterial small subunit ribosomal RNA", at positions 28 to 526 of the family's 1533-position model. The record is from RNAcentral.